CCCAAGAGUUCAUAUCGACGGCGGUGUUUGGCACCUCGAUGUCGGCUCAUCUCAUCCUGGGGCUGUAGCCGGUCCCAAGGGUAUGGCUGUUCGCCAUUUAAAGAGGUACGUGAGCUGGGUUUAAAACGUCGUGAGACAGUUUGGUCCCUAUCUGCCGUGGGCGUUGGAAUCUUGACGGGGGCUGCUCCUAGUACGAGAGGACCGGAGUGGACGUACCGCUGGUGUACCUGUUGUCUCGCCAGAGGCAUCGCAGGGUAGCUAUGUACGGAAGAGAUAACCGCUGAAAGCAUCUAAGCGGGAAACUUGCCUGAAGAUGAGGAUUCCCUGGAGACUUGAUCUCCCUGAAGGGUCGUUCGAGACCAGGACGUUGAUAGGCUGGGUGUGGAAGCGCAGUAAUGCGUUCAGCUAACCAGUACUAAUUGCCCGUGCGGCUUGAUCCU
Molecule: ribosomal RNA, 440 nt
Organism: Corchorus capsularis
Lineage: Eukaryota; Viridiplantae; Streptophyta; Magnoliopsida; Malvales; Malvaceae
Rfam family: Bacterial large subunit ribosomal RNA
Source: Rfam